RNAcentral lists this ribosomal RNA (1212 nucleotides) under uncultured Glomus. Its description in RNAcentral is "SSU rRNA". It matches the Rfam family "Eukaryotic small subunit ribosomal RNA", at positions 407 to 1650 of the family's 1831-position model. Lineage: Eukaryota; Fungi; Glomeromycota; Glomeromycetes; Glomerales; Glomeraceae. The record is from RNAcentral.
CUACCACAUCCAAGGAUGGCAGCAGGCGCGCAAAUUACCCAAUCCCGACACGGGGAGGUAGUGACAAUAAAUAACAAUACGGGGUUCUUUCGGAUCUCGUAAUUGGAAUGAAUACAAUNUAAAUCUCUUAACGAGGAACAAUUGGAGGGCAAGUCUGGUGCCAGCAGCCGCGGUAAUUCCAGCUCCAAUAGCGUAUAUNAAAGUNGUUGCAGUUAAAAAGCUCGUAGUUGAAUUUCGGGAUCAAAUUGUGGGUCGUGCCUCGGUACGCACUGGCGCUAUUGGUUCCUCCCUUCUGAAGAACCGCGAUGUCAUAAAUUUGGUGUCACGGGGAAUCAGGACUGUUACUUUGAAAAAAUUAGAGUGUUUAAAGCAGGCUCGCGCUUGAAUACAUNAGCAUGGAAUAAUGAAAUAGGACGUUUGAUUCUAUUUUGUCGGUUCCUAGGAUCGACGUAAUGAUUAAUAGGGAUANGUGGGGGCAUUAGUAUUCAAUUGUCAGAGGUGAAAUUCUUGGAUUAAUUGAAGACUANCUACUGCGAAAGCAUUUGCCAGGGAUGUUUCAUUAAUUCAGGACGAAAGUAGGGGAUCGAAGACGAAUAGAUACCGUCGUAGUCUUACCCAUAACAAGCCCAAUUAGAUAUCGAUUAAUGUAAUUUUUUAAUGACUCAUUCGCCCCUUACGGGAAACCAAAGUGUUUGGUUCCGGGGAAUAAUGUUCCCAAGCCUGAAACUUAAAGAAAUGAACGAAGGGCCACCACCAGGGUUGGAGCUUCCGGCUUAAUUGACUCAACACGGGGAACUCACCAGGUCCAGACAUAGUAAGAAUGACCAGAUUGAGAGCUCUUUCUUGAUUCUAUGGUGUUUGGUGCAUGCCCGUUCUUAGUUGGUGGAGUGAUUUGUCUGGUUAAUUCCGUUAACGAACGAGACCUUAACCUGCUAAAUAGCUAGGCUUAGCUUCGGUUAGGCCGUCAGCUACUUAGAGGGACUAUCGGUGUUUAACCGAUGGAAGUUUGAGGCAAUAACAGGUCUGUGAUGCCCUUAGAUGUUCUGCGCCGCACGCGCGCUACACUGAUGAAGUCAACGAGUUCUUAUCCUUUAUCGGAAGAUUUGGGUAAUCUUUUGAAACUUCAUCGUGCUGGGGAUAGAGCUUUGCAAUUAUUGCUCUUAAACGAGGAAUCCCUAGUAAGCACAAGUCAUCAGCUUGUGCUGAUUACGU